UACGGAGGGAGCUAGCGUUGUUCGGAUUUACUGGGCGUAAAGGGCGCGUAGGCGGCCACCGCAAGUCGACUGUGAAAUCUCUGGGCUUAACCCAGAAAGGUCAGCCGAUACUGCGGGGCUAGAGUGCAGAAGGGGCAACUGGAAUUCUCGGUGUAGCGGUGAAAUGCGUAGAUAUCGAGAGGAACACCUGCGGCGAAGGCGGGUUGCUGGGCUGACACUGACGCUGAUGCGCGAAAGCUAGGGGAGCGAACAGG
RNAcentral lists this ribosomal RNA (254 nucleotides) under uncultured bacterium. RNAcentral describes it as "partial 16S ribosomal RNA". It matches the Rfam family "Bacterial small subunit ribosomal RNA", at positions 524 to 776 of the family's 1533-position model. The record is from RNAcentral.